GUUUUAACUCUUGGUGUUUGUGUUUAUCUCCGUACCUUUUCCGUGUUUUUGUUGAUAAAAAUGCCCACCCAUUGGAAAACUUGUUGUGUUUGUGGUCAAAGCUGUAAGGAAAGGAAUGUGCCUAUACACAGUUUACCAAAAGAUGAAUUUGUAUGGAAACAAUGGAUAACAUUCCUUGUUGAAAAUAGGGCUGUCAGGGAAACUGAUAACUUUGCCCAAGCAUCCAUAUGUGGGGUCACCUCACUGCUUUAAGCUACCGGAGCUGUUUUUAGCAAUAAGAAGACACAGAUAGAUGACAUCUACACGCGAGGACGCGUAGAAUGACAGGAUGGCCGAAUGUUACCAGUUAUAUUUAUUAUAUAAAAUAUGUAGAAUAUUGUAAUAUAAACUAUUACUAUUAUUCUUCAAUUAAUAUUGUUUAUUUCAAUGGCUUUUAUAAUGUGAUUUAUUAUUUAUUAUAGCAUUACUGUUGGACGUACCUACGUAGUUCCCAGGGUGACUCAUAAAUAUUCAUACACACGAACUAAUCAUCCUCGCACCACGUGUUUAUUAUUAAGGUGGCGUGACUAAGCGCCGACAAAGCAAAAAUGCCGACGAGGGCCACAAGGGUGACAGGGGGUUUGCUUUUCGAUAUCAUAAUCUUUACGAUUGGUGGUACGUUCGACACGCCCGCGAUAUAUCGAAGUGAAAAUAGACAGUUUGAGUGAAUUUGACUAUUAUUUGGUAUCCCAUUAACAAUAUAGAACAUCUUCCUUUUAGGAUGUUUCACGUGAGAUUUUUAAAACAUUCCAAGCAUUUCUGGAGAAGUAAUUUUUAGUUAUCUACAUGCAAAGCCCGGUAGAGAAAAUGCAAUUUCUACAUGUAUUUUUAGCAGAUUACAAUUGCUGUUCAAUAUUUUUAACUGGGAAUUUUUGGCGGUAGCCACCAUGCAAUUUUUGCGAGCAAAAUGUUUUUAAAUUUUGCGACAAUAAACGACAAUUUUGU
Cylas formicarius (sweet potato weevil) is the source of this 984-nucleotide long non-coding RNA. RefSeq lists it as uncharacterized. The transcript has 3 exons. NCBI's taxonomy places the organism in Eukaryota, Metazoa, Arthropoda, Insecta, Coleoptera, Brentidae. The record is from RefSeq and is a predicted model, not a curated record.